RNAcentral lists this ribosomal RNA (477 nucleotides) under uncultured bacterium. RNAcentral describes it as "partial 16S ribosomal RNA". It matches the Rfam family "Bacterial small subunit ribosomal RNA", at positions 28 to 507 of the family's 1533-position model. The record is from RNAcentral.
GACGAACGCUGGCGGCGUGCUUAACACAUGCAAGUCGAACGGGAUUUCGUAAACAGAAGCCUCGGUGGAAGAUUACUAAUGAGAGUGGCGAACGGGUGAGUAACGCGUGAGCAACCUGCCUAUGACAGUGGGAUAGCCUCGGGAAACCGGGAUUAAUACCGCAUAAAAUCGUAGAAACACAUGUUUUAACGGUCAAAGAUUUAUCGGUCAUAGAUGGGCUCGCGUCUGAUUAGCUAGUUGGUGAGAUAACAGCCCACCAAGGCGACGAUCAGUAGCCGGUCGGAGAGAGUGAACGGCAAAAUUGGAAUUGGGCCACGAUCCAAACUCCGACGGGAGGCAGCAGUGGGGAAAAUUGCACAAGGGGGAAACCCUGAUGCAGCGACGCCGCGUGAACGAAGAAGGUAUUCGUAUCGUAAAGUUCUGUCCUAUGGGAAGAUAAUGACAGUACCAUAGAAGAAAGCUCCGGCUAAAUACGUG